AGAGCCUGUGGAGCCGGAGCUGUUCAUAGGUUUCCUGAUAGGAGCUGGCAGACGUUGCCUGGGUAGGGGUAGAACUAGAUGACCCCAAGCAACUGGAAUUACAGGCCCACGUCACUAUGCCCAGCUAAUUUUUUGUAUUUUUUGUAGAGACAGUGUUUUGCCGUGUGGCUCAGGAUGGUCUCGAACUCCUGGGCUCAGACAAUUCAGCCACCUCAGUCUUGGUUUUGAAUCUCACUUUCCCCCACUUCUGGCUCUCCUUGGAGUAUUUUUGAUCUCAUGCAGCCACCUUUAUGAUAGAUGAAUCAUUCCUAUGUCAACCAUAGUCAUCAUGAAUCCUCUGAGUGACUCUGGGGUAGCUUUUUCCCUUCUUUUUAGAUAAAAUAUAAAGAAGCUUCCAUGGCUUCUCUGGUCAUUGUUUGGGAAUUAAACAUCCUAUGGUCACUCUAGUUCCCUAACAUUGUGUCCAGAGACCCUUCCCUACCUUCCCUGACCUCUGUGUAUUUCU
Molecule: long non-coding RNA, 505 nt
Filed under: Homo sapiens (human)
Lineage: Eukaryota; Metazoa; Chordata; Mammalia; Primates; Hominidae
Description: non-protein coding lnc-ATAD2B-14:3
Source: RNAcentral